CGAAGGGAGUCGGACCCGUUCGGGGAACCGUGUAGAGGUGCUGCAUGGCUGUCGUCAGCUCGUGUCGUGAGAUGUUGGGUUAAGUCCCGCAACGAGCGCAACCCUUGCCAUUAGUUGUCAGCGAGUCAUGCCGGAUACUCUAAUGGGACUGCCGGUGACGAGCCGGAGGAAGGUGGGAUGACGUCAAGUCAGCAUGGCCUUUAUGUCCAGGGCCACACACGUGCUACAAUGGACGGUACAGAGGGACGCAAGACCGCAAGGUGGAGCAAAUCCUCAAAACCGUUCUCAGUUCGGAUUGUAGGCUGCAAUUCGCCUACAUGAAGCUGGAAUUGCUAGUAAUCGCAGAUCAGCUACGCUGCGGUGAAUACGUUCUCGGGCCUU
Molecule: ribosomal RNA, 381 nt
Filed under: uncultured Aminicenantes bacterium
Lineage: Bacteria; Candidatus Aminicenantota
Description: bacterial SSU rRNA
Rfam family: Bacterial small subunit ribosomal RNA
Source: RNAcentral